This 18-nucleotide ribosomal RNA is filed under the name Armillaria sinapina. RNAcentral describes it as "partial 18S ribosomal RNA". Lineage: Eukaryota; Fungi; Basidiomycota; Agaricomycetes; Agaricales; Physalacriaceae. RNAcentral also lists the same sequence under 1 other name. The record is from RNAcentral.
UGCGGAAGGAUCAUUAUU